CCCAAUAGGCCAAAAUAUAUGGAAGGAGAUAUUGUUGAUCUUUUGCUACAAUUGAAGAAAGAGCAAUUAACACCAAUUGAUCUCACUAUGGAGGAUAUAAAAGGAAUUCUCAUGAAUGUGUUAGUUGCAGGAUCAGACACUAGUGCAGCUGCUACUGUUUGGGCAAUGACAGCCUUGAUAAAGAAUCCAAAAGCCAUGGAAAAAGUUCAGUUAGAAAUCAGAAAAUCAGUUGGGAAGAAAGGCAUUGUAAGUGAAGAAGAUGUCCAAAACAUGCCUUAUUUCAAAGCAGUGAUAAAAGAAAUAUUUAGAUUGUAUCCACCAGCUCCACUUCUAGUUCCAAGAGAAUCAAUGGAAAAAACCAUAUUAGAAGGUUAUGAAAUUCGGCCGGGAACCAUAGUUCAUGUUAACGCUUGGGCUAUAGCAAGGGAUCCUGAAAUUUGGAAAAAUCCAGAUGAAUUUAUACCUGAGAGAUUCUUGAAUAGUGAUAUCGAUUAUAAGGGUCAAGAUUUUGAGUUACUUCCAUUUGGUGCAGGCAGAAGAGGUUGUCCAGGUAUUGCACUUGGGGUUGCAUCCAUGGAACUUGCUUUGUCAAAUCUUCUUUAUGCAUUUGAUUGGGAGUUGCCUAAUGGAGUGAAAAAAGAAGACAUUGACACAAAUGUCAGGCCUGGAAUUACCAUGCAUAAGAAAAACGAACUUUGCCUCAUCCCUCAAAAUUAUCUAUAGAUUAUAUUGUGACGUGGAUCUCAAACUAGUUCUGUGAGCUCUCAGCUAAAGUUAUUGUUUCGGUUCGAAAUAUGUAUGCAUAUUUAGAAUAAAUUAAGAAGGAGUGAUUCCGAGCUAUAUAGAUGUUACGAAACGAAUCAAGUGAUUUGGAGCUUUGAAGUCUGAGUAAAAGCCCAAGAAAUUAAGCCGGGAUCGUGUCAGGGAUCAACUUUGAUAGUUAAGAACAAACGAAGACUCGAGUAGGCAUAUUGCGCACUGUCUUGUAAAAUACACAUAACUUUUUUUUUCAGAACUACAUUUUGGCUUCACAAUAUAUGGUUGGAAAGCUAACUAAAAGGGCUACAAUUUUUGGGUUUUACGUGUUUCCAAAUUCUAAACUGAACAGGGAGAAUACUGGGCCACUAGCGCAAUCGCGCUAGUCAAACCUAGGAAACGUGUCCUUUUUCAUAUUGGAGAAGGUAUAAUUAUUUGGGCCCAACCCUACUUGUUAUAUAUACAUGGAAAAAAACGGUAUAUUUUAUGGAAGGAGGACGUUUUUUAGAGUAACUUUUGACGAAGGAAGAGCACAAAGCCGCCGUGGAGGCCGGGUUUCAUCUUUUCUUCAACCAAACUUAGUCUUUUUAUGUUUCUUUGUAUGAUUUGUUGUUUUGCUUCCACGUCUAUGUGGAGCUAAACUUCACAUUCUAGGGUUGUGGUUCUUUCAUAACUAUUGUUAUUUUGAUA
Molecule: non-coding RNA, 1446 nt
Organism: Nicotiana tabacum (common tobacco)
Lineage: Eukaryota; Viridiplantae; Streptophyta; Magnoliopsida; Solanales; Solanaceae
Source: RefSeq, a predicted model, not a curated record